AAGCAAUAAUUAUUACUACAAUAUAAAAUACAAUAAGGCUCACAGUGCAAAAUACCUGAGUAGCACCUGAGAGUAAACUUUUCCCUGCUUUCACUCCAUGCUCCGUCUCAUCCUCUGCUGUUUCAGCCGGGUAGUUUUUUUCGAUGCAUCACUACAAACAACCAACUUAUGAGUCGAUGGAGCAUCGGCAUUGUCCGCCAUCUUGUAAUCACUGCAGUGCAGCUUCUACACAGGGCAAUGGCUAACAGGAUGCUCUCUUGGAAGAUCCGAUCACUGGUGGCAUUCAUGAUAAGAUCAAUGACCAGAUCAGAAGCGCCUUCUUUGUCUAGGUGGCAUUGCACCUCCGCCAAACUCAGCUCACCUCGACCUCCGAUCCCAGAGCUGACAACUAAGGAAGCAGGAUAAACAAGUCAUCUUUUACAGUCAAAUAUUUAUUUAGGAACUCAGGUAACACUUUUCUUUAAGUUUUAUACAUAAGGCUGACCUUACGCUGUCAUUAUCUGUCAUUAGCAUGAGUAAGGUGUCACUAAGGCUGUCAUUGUGUCGUUCGCUAAAUUAUGACACCUUUGGAGCUAUGUUGGCAUUUCUUGGAUUGGGGGAGAGAUCUAGUGGAGUUAAGUAGGGUUAAGGGUUAAGGUUAGGGUUCACUUAACACUUAAUGACAGCCUUCAUGACACCUUAUUCAUGCUAAUGACAGGUGCCAUGUCAAAAUAUUGACAGUGCAAUGUCAGCCUUAUUUUUAAAACUUCAGUAAAGUGUUAACGGCAUUUGUCUGUUAAAAGCUGACAUGAAAUGGUUUCAUAUACAUAUAUUUAAGUAUUUUAUAAGUAUGGGUGGUUAAUUCUGGGGUUACAAGCAGGAAAAAAAAAAUAGUGAUGUAACAAACCGUGGGAGUGUGAAAAAAAUGACAGAUUACAUGUGUCUAAUGUGCUUGCUGCUUUUCCAGGUGUUCAGAGAGGAAUAACCACCAUUAGAGCAGCUCAAGAUGAGUGAGCAAAUGAAUUAAUAACAUCCUAUUCUAGCUAGAGCUAGGCUUUCUGGUUGCCAGGCAACAACACGGCCUGCUUUACGCUGGGGAGAAAGUCAUCACCCUCAGUGGCAGAGCCAAGGUUCAAGUGGCUUAAUGUAAUUCAGGACCAUGGCUGUGAAUAUGAUGGGAUCUUUUCAUCCAUUUUCAAUCAUUACUGGUUAAACAUCAGUGAUAUCUGUGAUGAACGAUUGAAUAUAUGAGUCACAAAUACAGCUGCCUGGUUUUGGUUUACUUGUGUUUUUAUAUUCUUGCUGGCAGGAAUUACAAUUAUAAUUGUAAUCGCAUAAUUUGUAAUCAAUGACAAUUAUGAAUUUGUAAUUGAAAAAAAUAUGUUGCUGUUGUAAUCAUAAUUGAAUUGUAAUUGAGUUCAGAUAA
This 1405-nucleotide long non-coding RNA is filed under the name Gouania willdenowi (blunt-snouted clingfish). RNAcentral's name for it is "lncRNA (ENSGWIG00000000436.1)". Lineage: Eukaryota; Metazoa; Chordata; Actinopteri; Blenniiformes; Gobiesocidae. The record is from RNAcentral.